AUCUCUGGUCCGGCGCUAGCUGACUGGAUGCAUCCUCAUUAUAGCUUUAGAUGCCGCGAGAGUGGAGGUAUAGAUGUUUUUGGAAUUCAUGAUGGCAGCAUAGUGACUAUUUUGAAUGGUACUUGCAAGGACAACACUACUUCACCAAAAGGAGGACUAAUAGAGAUUCCUUAUAGUUGCACUUAUGCAACUGAUGAGGGAACAGAAACUGCGUAUGAAGUAUUUAUAAGUGUAAAAGAUCCUGUGUUUGGUGAAACUAC
Molecule: long non-coding RNA, 260 nt
Organism: Saccostrea echinata
Lineage: Eukaryota; Metazoa; Mollusca; Bivalvia; Ostreida; Ostreidae
Exons: 3
Source: RefSeq, a predicted model, not a curated record